This 525-nucleotide non-coding RNA is filed under the name Stegodyphus mimosarum. RNAcentral's name for it is "eukaryotic small subunit ribosomal RNA". It matches the Rfam family "Eukaryotic small subunit ribosomal RNA", at positions 4 to 515 of the family's 1831-position model. Lineage: Eukaryota; Metazoa; Arthropoda; Arachnida; Araneae; Eresidae. The record is from Rfam by way of RNAcentral.
CUAGUUGAUCCUGCUAGUAGUCAUUAGCUUGUCUCAAAGAUUAAGCCACGCAUGUCGAAGUACAUGCCACAUUAAAGUGAAACCGUGAAUGGCUCAUAAAAAUCAGUUAUGCUUCCUUGGAUCGUACCUUACUACUUGGAUAACUGUGGCAAUCCUAAAAUUGAUACAUGCAGCAGAACGCCGAACCCCUGAGAAUGAGCUCUUUUAUUGUUUUAUUAGACCAAAACCAGUCGAACCUCUUGUCCGUAUUAUGUGAUGAUUCUGUAUCACUUUGGUCUGACAGCACGAGCUCGUUCCAGCUAUGUAUCUUUCAAGUGUGUGCCUUAUCAAUUGUUGAUGGUAGGUUAUGAGCCUACCAUGUUUUAACCGGUGACGAAGAAUCAGAGUUCGAUUCCGGAGAGAAGCCAGAGAAACGGCUGCUACAUCCAGGGAAGACAGCAGACGCGGAUAUUACCUACUCCCAAAACGGGAAGGUACUGGCGAAAAAUAGUGAGGAAACAAUCUACAAACCCUGAAGCUUAAACU